This 478-nucleotide ribosomal RNA is filed under the name uncultured bacterium. RNAcentral's name for it is "partial 16S ribosomal RNA". It matches the Rfam family "Bacterial small subunit ribosomal RNA", at positions 28 to 523 of the family's 1533-position model. The record is from RNAcentral.
GACGAACGCUGGCGGCGUGCUUAACACAUGCAAGUCGAACGGUAAGGCCCUUCGGGGUACACGAGUGGCGAACGGGUGAGUAACACGUGGGUGAGCUGCCCUGCACUUCGGGAUAAGCCUGGGAAACUGGGUCUAAUAACGGAUAGGACUCCGAACUGCAUGGUCGGGGGUGGGAAGCUUUUGCGGUGUGGGAUGGGCCCGCGGCCUAUCAGCUUGGUGGUGGGGUGAUGGCCUACCAAGGCGACGACGGGUAGCCGGCCUGAGAGGGUGACCGGCCACACUGGGACUGAGAUACGGCCCAGACUCCUACGGGAGGCAGCAGUGGGGAAUAUUGCACAAUGGGCGCAAGCCUGAUGCAGCGACGCCGCGUGAGGGAUGACGGCCUUCGGGUUGUAAACCUCUUUCAGCACGGACGAAGCGCAAGUGACGGUAUGUGCAGAAGAAGGACCGGCCAACUACGUGCCAGCCGCCGCAGUAA